UGCCAGCCGCCGCGGUAAUACGGGGGGUGCAAGCGUUAAUCGGAGUUAUUGGGCGUAAAGGGUGCGUAGGUGGUUCAUUAAGUUAUCUGGGAAAUUCCUGGGCUCAACCUAGGAAUGUCGGGUGAUACUGGUGAACUUGAGUAUAGUAGAGGGUAGUGGAAUUUCCGGUGUAGCGGUGAAAUGCGUAGAGAUCGGAAGGAACACCAGUGGCGAAGGCGGCUACCUGGACUAAUACUGACACUGAGGCACGAAAGCGUGGGGAGCAAACAGGAUUAGAUA
RNAcentral lists this ribosomal RNA (279 nucleotides) under uncultured bacterium. RNAcentral describes it as "partial 16S ribosomal RNA". It matches the Rfam family "Bacterial small subunit ribosomal RNA", at positions 506 to 784 of the family's 1533-position model. The record is from RNAcentral.